Molecule: transfer RNA, 84 nt
Filed under: Candidatus Goldiibacteriota bacterium
Lineage: Bacteria; Candidatus Goldiibacteriota
Description: tRNA-Leu
Rfam family: tRNA
About the family: Transfer RNA (tRNA) molecules are approximately 80 nucleotides in length. Their secondary structure includes four short double-helical elements and three loops (D, anti-codon, and T loops). Further hydrogen bonds mediate the characteristic L-shaped molecular structure. tRNAs have two regions of fundamental functional importance: the anti-codon, which is responsible for specific mRNA codon recognition, and the 3' end, to which the tRNAs corresponding amino acid is attached (by aminoacyl-tRNA synthetases). tRNAs cope with the degeneracy of the genetic code in two manners: having more than one tRNA (with a specific anti-codon) for a particular amino acid; and 'wobble' base-pairing, i.e. permitting non-standard base-pairing at the 3rd anti-codon position.
Source: RNAcentral
GCGAGGAUGGCGGAAUUGGCAGACGCGCCAGACUUAGGAUCUGGUCCAUUCCGGGUGUGGGUUCAAGUCCCUCUCCUCGCACCA